RNAcentral lists this transfer RNA (55 nucleotides) under Gammaproteobacteria bacterium. RNAcentral's name for it is "tRNA-Ile". It matches the Rfam family "tRNA", at positions 8 to 59 of the family's 71-position model. From Rfam's summary of the family: Transfer RNA (tRNA) molecules are approximately 80 nucleotides in length. Their secondary structure includes four short double-helical elements and three loops (D, anti-codon, and T loops). The record is from RNAcentral. Lineage: Bacteria; Pseudomonadati; Pseudomonadota; Gammaproteobacteria.
UAGCUCAGUUGGUUAGAGCGCACCCCUGAUAAGGGUGAGGUCGGUGGUUCGAAUC